Molecule: long non-coding RNA, 7582 nt
Organism: Ficedula albicollis (Collared flycatcher)
Lineage: Eukaryota; Metazoa; Chordata; Aves; Passeriformes; Muscicapidae
Exons: 2
Source: RefSeq, a predicted model, not a curated record
AAAAAAACCAACAAAACAAACCCAAAAAACUCCAUGGAAAUCUGACAGAGAAAAGCCUGGCACAAGCCUUGGACAAACCCAGUUUCUCAACAACCAGGUUUUAAUUUUCAGGUGGAAAGUGGUUUUUUUCUCAGAAUUCAGGGUGAUUUUAAUGAUGUGACACAGAGCAUUUUAUCAGCUAAACUGAACCCUGGUGCGACUCAAUCCCCUCUCAAAGGAACAACUGAAACCCAGCUUUGCUUCCCCACUAAAAACAUAAAAGUGAGCAGGUUUCUUCAGAAGCCCCCAAGGUGUUAAAACUCAAAAAAAUACAAUUUUUUAAAAACAAGAUUCCUUAUCCCCAUCCCUAAUUCUAGAACAAACCAGGACACUAAAAAAAAAAUAAAAAUAAUAAUCUAAGUUGCUAUAAAUAUAAUUUAAAAUCAUAAUUAGCUGUCUGCUGCCAUCCCAGCUGGUAGGGGAUACCACAGGGAUUCCACAUGGCUCGAGGGCAGGCUGGGAAAUACCUUCAGCACCUCCUGGAUAGUACCAGAAAGGGAUAAAUAAUAAAUAAGAACAUGAGAAAGAAUAAUCAGCCUUCCACAGGGAUGGAAAAGCAGAGACUUUCUCAGCUGAGAAACCAGAUGAUGUUACUGUAAAAAAAAAGAAUCCUAAAAAUAAAGUAAAAUAAGGACUUGCAUUACAGCAGGUUGCAAAGUCUUCUCCUUCCUGACAUGUUCAUGUGCCCUCUUCAACACCAGACACCACUGGGAGCUGGGUGCUUUUCCAUUUGUUCUGCUCCUAUUUUGGUGUUUGGGGUUUUUUUCCCUAGCCAGAACUAUGUAGAAAUAUCCUUGCUACAGAUUUCCCACCAUCUCAAGAAAAAGCAGACUUCACACCUUAAGGCAGAAAGUCUAGAAAUCCCAUCUAUUGAUCCUGAACAUGGAUCUCUGCCAACAAAACUGUAAUUCCUUAAACUGAAAAUUUUGGACAAUUUUAGAGAGUUGUUUCUUUUUUUUUCUUUUUUCCCUAUUUUACUCCAACACAUUUCCAGCUUACACAAAGCUCCACUUAGCAGCUUCUUCUCAUUGUAUUGCUAUUAAAAAAUGCAGAAUUCCAGCUAUUUUGGAUGCUGUGACUAUUUCCAGCAGCCCCUGGCACGGGGACAGCUCUCACCAAGCACAAACCACUCGAUUCACCAAAAUAAAAACAGAGCCCUGGAAAUUCACUUUACACAUGGAUUUUAAAGGGAAUAUCCAGAGCCAAAUCCUGGCUUGGGGGAUCUUGGAUUUUGAGCCCCACCUUGCCAGCAGCCUCCCAGAAGGCACAGUCCAUGUUUGUAGGUGUUCAUGCAGAACUUGUGGCUAAAUUUGGGCAAAAAUGGAUGGAGAGCUCUGCAGCUGUACCUGGAUCUGGGAAAAUUUGAUCCUGGCCCAACAGCUCUGACAGAGACUGGGAUUUGUCUUUAAACACACCUUUUUUUGGCUUUUACCAGGCACUUAAUCCACAUUUCUUCACCCUGGCUGUGCAAAUCAAGGACACCUGGCCCUUCCUGACUUUUCUCAGUAUCCAUCCUGAACAAUAAAAAAAACCCAUAAAAAUGCUGAAGGCUUUUGGGUGUUCUGGGACACCCUGAGAUGCCUGAAUGUUCUCUCCUAGAGGGAAAAAUCCCAGGAUAUGGCAGAAUCCAACACCUCCACCCCACAACUCCCGGGGAAACUGUGCCUCUGUGAGUUUUUGGAGGCCAUGGAUACUCCAGGCUGCUCUUCCAGCCUCCAGACAUUGGCCCCUCUCACUGGAGCAUUAAUCUCCAUCCACCUCCUGGAAUGGUUUGGUGUGUCAGGUCACAGCCUUCUGGAAAGAUCAUGGUCUGCUCUCUUUAUUUCCUCAAAAACAGUCAUUAUCUAGGGGCAAAACCAGACUGAAUUAAAGCCUGAGUUAUUCCUGGAAGAUAAAACCAAGCAGCAGCUUUCCUGAUCAGUUCAGGAAUACUUGAGGUGUGUUUAGUCUUUAUUCAAAAAUUACACCAUUCCACAUUUCCUGGAUUUAGCUAAGCCCAAAAGCGAAAGUAACAGAUCAAAAUACCCUGAAAUAAAACUUUUAGGGAGGGUUUUCAGGUCUGGCUAAAAGCAGAUAGCUUUGGAAAUCGCUGAUGGAUGUCUGAUCUGUUGAGAUUUCCAUCUCCACUUCCAAGCUUUUCCCGCUUAUCCCCGCAGGACCCCACGAGCUGGACGCUCUCCCUGCCCCUGGAAAUCCAGGAGCCUCUCAGGGAAGGGAUUUUGGGCCAUCCUGGCUGCUGCCUGGGCUGAGCCACCUCAGGGCAGCUCCAGCAUUCCCAAAAAUCCCAGUGGGAUGGCAGCAAGCAAAGGGACAAGUUCGUGCUGGGGCUGGAGAGUUGGAGAAUUCCCAGCUGCGGGAUUUGGGAGCAGGGGAACUGGAGAAUCUUUAAAAACAAAUUUUUAAGAACAGGAUUCCUUAUCCCCAUCCCUAAUUCUAGAGCAAACCAGGACACAGCAGGCAGCUCCUCCCUCUCCCACAGCACUCCCUGGACAGCUGGCUGCCAGUGAAACCCCAGACAUGGCAGCAGGAACGUGAAGGUGCCUGGGCUGUCAGGUGUCCCAAAAGCUCUCCAGCAUCCCAGGGCUGCUCUGAGGAGCCACAUCACAACCAUCCUGCAGCCCCAGCUGCUCCCUCCUCCUGGUGGCCUCCAAAUUGGCUAUUUCCAGCGUGAAGCUGCCCUAAAAGUUUCCCCUCUUCUGUCCCAGCCACAGAGGCCUCUCCCAGGCUUUUCCCAGCAUUUAAAGCCAUGCAGCAGCAGCAGCAGCCUUGGGCCACCUGCAGGUUUUUCCCCAUGGGUUUCUUCUGGGUUUCAGAUUUUGCAGUGGCACCCUGAGACCCAGUGCCCACAAAUCUGGGCCUGAAGGAAGAUGUGGGGAGGGCAAGGGCAGCCAGGCUGCUCUCAGGCUGUGCCCUGGGGCACCUGUGGCUGUGUCCUGCCUCUCUUGCUGCUCCAGACCCUCCCUGGCAAGGUGGACUGCCACCAGCUGCCCAUCAGAGCACUCAUUUUGUCCCUGUGCCAUUAAACCCACCCUUAAAGUUCACUGCACUCUCAGAGUCCUUUCCAUUUACCCAGCAAUGGACCUUUGUGCCUGCAGCACUGGCACCAGCAGCUCCUGGCUGUGUUUAUUCAUCUGCAAACAUCUCAAAACUGAGAUGCAGCUUUUCCUGGCCCUAUUUAUUAACAAAAGCCACUGGUUUUAUGGAGUGGGGUUAUGUGAAGGAGCAGAGUCCUCUCAGCCUUUAACAGCCACAGUGCAGGGGUGAAUCUCCCAGCUCUGCAGAGCACAGGGCAAAUUUCACAUCCUCCAGCUGCUCCAGCUAAGGCUGAGCUGAAAUCUUAAUGAGGAGAUCUGAUCCCUUCUCACCAGAAACAAUCUGGGUUUUACAGCCCAGGCAGAGGCCAGGGGAGCAGGCAAAGCUCUGGGAUCCAUCCUCUGCUGCUGGUUAAGGGCUUUCAAGGAAACAAGGAACCUGGGGGGAGGACAGGGAGUGCAAAACGUGGACAUCUGGUGUGCUCUGUGUGUUCUGCCCACCCUCCACCUCCCCAGGCCCAGCCCAGAGCACAUACAGGAGACUGCUCUAACAUCAACAACCAGAACAUGGCAAUAAAGAUUAAUGAGCAAAACUUGCCAUUUUAUGUCUAAUCCGUGGGGAUUUAGGAUCAUUAAUCUUUAUUAGUGUGUAAUAACUGUUUAGACACUAAGGACAGAUUCUCAGCUGGACAAAACUGGCCUUAUUCCAGCCAAGCCAAUGGAGCAGUGCCAGUUUACACCCUCCAUGACCCCAGCUCUACAUGAGAGCCAGCCCAUCUGUAGGAAUCACAUCACUGACAGUAUUUCCCCAACAGCAGGGGCACAGAAGUGAAGGCAACUAUUUGUCUUUCCCUGUAUCCCAAAAAAGAGAGCUGCAUGUGUCCAGGAAGCUCAACAAUAGACAUGUCAAUAAACACGAGGAAAUUCAAUGGAAGAGCAACAGCAACAAAAGGAACCCCAAGGAGCAGGGAAGUGGAUGGUUUUAGAGGCAAGACUAUAAGAUCUGGUUUGGCAGGAGAGUAACUAAGAGGGAUCUUUGGCAUGUGAAAGAGUGAAAGCACCAAGACAGGCUCCCAGAGUUCCUCUAACAGGAACAAGAUGGAAGGGGAAAAAAAAAAAGCAGGAGCAUCUUGGCUGGCUUUUCUGAGAGAGGAGUUUGGGGUUGUUUUGAAUAAAAAAGAUUUCUUAAACACAGGAGCUGGUGGGAACCUUGCCUGAACUACACCAGAGCAGGCACUGAAGCAAUGCUGAGCUGACCAAGCAGGAUUUCCUCUUCCAGAACGUGCAGGGAAGGAGGGAAUUGUGCAGGGACACACCUGGCUGGCAGCAAGCAUGGAGAAAUCCCAGCUGAGGCUGUGCCUGCAGGGCUCUGCCCUCAGCCCCUGCCCACCAGGACAAGGUGCAGCAGCACCUGCUCAACAGCAGGGAGAUGAAUUGAGAUUUUUUACAGGUUUUUCCAAGUAGGGACCCACCAACAGCUUCCUGCAUCACACACACCUGCCUCCAGAAAUGAAGUUCCACCCCUUUAACAAGUCAGAGUUGCCUCUUUCUCACCAGUAAACUCAACAGAAGUCAGGGAAAACCCCAGAAGUACAGUACAGAGAUAUCUGUGUCAAGGUUUGUACACCUGGAAGAACUCCAGGAAAGAUGGGCAUUGCACCCAGUGCAGCAGCAUGAACCUGCUGUUUAAAAACAGGAACCAGAAAUGCCCUCCAACUCCUCUUUCAGAUUUAAGGGUCCACAGGGCUCUUGGGGACCCAGAAAACAGCUUUCCUGCCAGUGACACUUCAGAGCUCCAGCAAGGGCAAGCCUGCAGCACGCAGGGAUUGCAGGAGCACCAGCAGCUGGGGGGUGGGGGGAAGGGGAUGGACAUCACACCUGGGGACCCCUGGGGAUGGGCUGUGCCUCCUGAUCAGCUGUGGCAGAUUGGAGAGGCUCCCCUGCCCUGCAAACCCACCCACAGCUGCUCCAGCUCCCAGCUCAGUGUGAGCUCCCAGCAGCUCUGCUCUCUCUCUGCUCCCUGGAUUUGGGGUUCUUUCAAGUUUAUGCCAUUUGACAUCUUCUUCUCUAAGAAUGCCAAGCCCUGUGCUGUGUGAACACACAAAACCUUUGUGAAGGACACCCGUAAGCCUCAGGAAAGGCACCCCUAAGGCUGUCAGGAAAGGUUUCAUGUCCCAGAACCUCUGUCUGUCCCUGUGCUCGUGUUCUGGCCAAGCAAAGAUCUGAGCAGCAACCAAAGGCUUCUCAUCUUCUCAGUUCAACAGCAGAGAGAAGAGCCUGACUCCUCCUGCAGCCCAGCAGGGCUCUGAGGCACACGGGAGUCCCUGGCUCUCCUCCCUGAGCUGAAGCCACCAAGCUCAGGCUUCUCUCUAAGAAAUUGCUGGGUCAGGCCAAGCUUUGUGCCCACGAGGGAUGCAGGGACAGCCCCAGAGCUGCCACAGCUCCACCAGCACUGGGCAUCUCCCACAGCACCGUCCAUCCUCCUGCUCAGACAGCUCCACACUUACUCUGGGCUGACACAAACCACUUUAAAAGGAACAAAGUCACGGGGAAGGAGCAGGGAAGGGAAGGGAUUUGCUGCGUGCCCUAUUGUAAUGUCAUUAGGACAAAGGGAUUAGAGCAGAAAGCAUAAAAGCAAGCCCUGUGUGGAGGCACAGAGGAAUCCUUUUAGAGGGUUACUAGCUGCAGACAACACUGCCAUUAAUUCUCUAUUGGAAAACGCUGGUGACAUUAAUAUCUGCUAUUAAUACUGAGCUUUGACAGUAUCUCAUAAAUUCAACCUGUCAAUUACAAUGGCACUGAAAUGAAGGUGCUCUGAGGUCAAGGAGAUGCAGUGUCCAAAUGAGACUUAUAUCGCAGGGGAAAAGCAGCAAAAACAAUCUUUAACAAAAGCAUCAGAUCCAUAUGUAGGAAAACCAAAGGGUGGUUUUAAAUGUCAUGUUUUUCAAAGUGAGAAUUGAUGCUGGAACCGAGUCUAUAAACUGGCUGGCUGGACUUUCAGCUGCAGCUGAGGACAAUCAAUCAAAACAGCUCUGUGACUCUGAGAAAGUGAGAGAGAGAAAACACACACACACACAGCAUGGAAUAUGAGAGGGCAGAUCACGAGCCAUGCGAGGCCUCUUAAAAUUACACUGUGAAGUAAAACAUCCUGGUGUUUCAUCUGCCACAAAAUGUAACCUGAAAGGUUCUCCUGGGCAGGGAGUGGGGUUUGGAGCUGCUCCCUCCCGAGGGCUGGGCAGGCUCCUGGGACAGGGCUGAGCAAGGGGAGCCUCCUCCCCAAAGCCUGCAGGAGCUGUGCAUCUCACCUGAUUGCUGCAAGCCCUCUGUGAGCCCCUGCUCUGCAGCUGAGGGCACAGGGACGGAUAAACCCCGAGAAAUGCUCCCCUGUGUGUGUCACUGCCAGCCCCAGGCUCUCAGCCAGCCCUGUGGUGGCAGUGGCAGUGGCAGUGGCAGUGGCAGUGGCAGCCCAGGCACUGGCGGUGUCUUUGUGCGCCUCUUGCAAGGGUUGGCACGUCCCCAGCACCCCAGAGCCCUGCUCUGAACACUGCCCUGCCCAGCAGCCCCGCCAGGGACAGCUUCCCAAAACCCACUGACUGCUCCAGCCUGCACCAGCCGAGUCUGGAGCUGCUAACCUGGCAGAGCAGGGGGCUGUGACAUCUGCACAGGCUGUGACACCCUGCACAGGCUGUGACAUCUGCACAGGUUGUGACAUCUGCACAGGCUGUGACACCCUGCACAGGCUGUGACACCCUGCACAGGUUCAAUGACAUCUGCACAGGUUGUGACACCCUGCACAGGCUGUGACACCCUGCACAGGUUCAGUGACAUCUGCAGAGGUUCAGCACUGCAGAGCAUGGUUCAGUGACACCCUGCACAGAUUGUGACAUCCUUCACAGGUUCAGUGACAUCUGCACAGGCUGUGACACCCUGCACAGGCUGUGACACCCUGCACAGGUUCAAUGACAUCUGCACAGGUUGUGACACCCUGCACAGGCUGUGACACCCUGCACAGGUUCAAUGACAUCUGCACAGGUUGUGACACCCUGCACAGGCUGUGACACCCUGCACAGGUUCAAUGACAUCUGCACAGGUUGUGACACCCUGCACAGGCUGUGACACCCUGCACAGGUUCAAUGACAUCUGCACAGGUUGUGACACCCUGCACAGGCUGUGACACCCUGCACAGGUUCAAUGACAUCUGCACAGGUUGUGACACCCUGCACAGGCUGUGACACCCUGCACAGGUUCAAUGACAUCUGCACAGGUUGUGACACCCUGCACAGGCUGUGACACCCUGCACAGGUUGUGACAUCCUGCACAGGUGCAGUGACACCCUGCAGAGGUUCAGCACUGCAGAGCAGGGGUGUGUCUGGGGUUUCUGGCUCUGAGGGGCUGUGCCAAGCAGGGUGGGGAUGGAAGCGCGUGCAGGGCACGAGGCACUUGUGCAGCUGCCCAGAAUGCACAGGCAGGCCCCGCUCCAGGGUGGGGGAAGCAGCCGUGGACAAAAGCAG